CGGGUCGUUGUCCCGGUUCCUGAUGCCGCCUUGGAGCUCUAGAAGGGGUAAUGCUGCCCCAGCUUGCGGGCACGAGCUGCUUCUAUGGGGUGAAACAUCCUGCUAUUUCUGGACUGUUUUGUUGCUUGGGCUCUUGUGCCUCUUGGAUGUUGAUUGUUAUAUUUUCACCAUAGGGCAAAAAUCUUGUUGCUUCAGCUCCACAAAGAGGUAAAAUUUGGGUAGUGGGGAAAGUGGAACUUUUUUGUUCACAAAUUCAGAACAAAGAUGUGAAAACACUGAUAUUUCUGUGAUUUGGUAUUGACCUUCCAAAUGAGAAAGGCUGAAUAUAGCAUGACCUUUGAAGCUGUGAAGUAUGGGGAGUAGCAGUAUGUGGUUUUGUAGCAGGAGGUCUAUGUAGUUAGAAUAUUAGCCAAACUGAGAGCAAUCAGACUUACAUCACAAAGGAAAGGAUGCUUUGUCAUAAGCAGAACAGAUCAUAGAAAAAGAUCCCAGAUACCUUGGCUCAAAGAAUAUUUCAGGCUGAUGAAGAAACUAAAACACAGACACAUAUGUAAUGAUUUUCUUAGCUUGCCUGCAGUUCCCCUAUGCUAGCAAAGCAUAGUGUCUGUCAACUUAAGCAGUAUCUGCAUGUCUUUGGUAUGUUCAUGAAUAACUGCAUUAUAAAUCUGACACAACUGCACUUGGGCACCUCAAUGGGAGGUGGUCUUGUAAUUUCAGAAUUGAAUAUAAUCUCUAUCUUGUAAAUCCAAGUAUAAUUGGUAUAAUUUCUGACCAUAUUUAGGACAUUCUAGAGACAGAGACAUGAAGUGACUCCAAAAACUCUGGUAUGAAGGAAGAAACAGCUUGUCCCUUGGAGAAGGCAAGAGUGACAUUUAGAGGAUGAUUCUUGAUUUGUUUAUGGAAGGGGCUGUGCAAAUCUAUUUUGAUGAACUCAGUGACCAAGACAUCCUUUCCAGUGCUGCAUUUAGGUCUUUCAGCUAAUGAGAGAAUGGUGUGUGGGGGGUGCACAGGAGUUGCAACCCAUCACUCAAAAUCCAGCAGUAUUAUUGGUUUAUUAAGGAAAUUAGUGUGGGGUUUUGUUUCAAGCAGCUCUUAUCAAGUAUCUCUCUGAGCUUUACAGGCUACAGUGCUUAUUGUAAGAUCACAUCUUGGUUCUGGCAGAAGUUAGUCUGUAUCAAAGAGACAAGGAAACCAUGCUAGAGAGAAAGGAA
RNAcentral lists this long non-coding RNA (1211 nucleotides) under Parus major (Great Tit). RNAcentral's name for it is "lncRNA (ENSPMJG00000018373.1)". Lineage: Eukaryota; Metazoa; Chordata; Aves; Passeriformes; Paridae. The record is from RNAcentral.